RNAcentral lists this transfer RNA (74 nucleotides) under Actinomycetes bacterium. RNAcentral describes it as "Actinobacteria bacterium tRNA-Gln". It matches the Rfam family "tRNA". Rfam says of the family: Transfer RNA (tRNA) molecules are approximately 80 nucleotides in length. Their secondary structure includes four short double-helical elements and three loops (D, anti-codon, and T loops). Further hydrogen bonds mediate the characteristic L-shaped molecular structure. tRNAs have two regions of fundamental functional importance: the anti-codon, which is responsible for specific mRNA codon recognition, and the 3' end, to which the tRNAs corresponding amino acid is attached (by aminoacyl-tRNA synthetases). tRNAs cope with the degeneracy of the genetic code in two manners: having more than one tRNA (with a specific anti-codon) for a particular amino acid; and 'wobble' base-pairing, i.e. permitting non-standard base-pairing at the 3rd anti-codon position. The record is from RNAcentral. RNAcentral also lists the same sequence under 4 other names. Lineage: Bacteria; Bacillati; Actinomycetota; Actinomycetes.
UGGCCCGUGGGGUAACGGUAGCCCGACUGACUCUGGAUCAGUUAGUCCUGGUUCGAAUCCAGGCGGGCCAGCCA